Non-coding RNA from Salmo salar (Atlantic salmon), 73 nucleotides. NCBI's taxonomy places the organism in Eukaryota, Metazoa, Chordata, Actinopteri, Salmoniformes, Salmonidae. The record is from Rfam.
UUCCCUGUAGCACAGUUGGUAGAGCAUGGUGUUUGCAAUGCCAGGGUUGUGGGUUUGAUUCCCAUGAGGGACC